ACAGAUGAUCGCGCCCUCGUCAGAGGGUGAGGAAAGUCCGGGCUCCACAGGGCAGAGUGCCGGAUAACGUCCGGUCGGGGUGACCCGAAGGCCAGUGCAACAGAAAAGAAACCGCCGGUUUUACCGGUAAGGGUGGAAUGGCGGUGUAAGAGACCACCGCUCUUACGGUAACGUAAGAGGCUGUGUAAACCCCACUCGGAGCAAGACGAAACAGAAAGCGAUACGGUAGCCCGCCGUGCUUUCGGGUGCGUCGCGUUUUGUACCUUACGGUACAAAGGAGCUGUGCGGUAACGUACAGUCAAGAUAGAUGAUCAUCUGAUACAGAACCCGGCUUAUAGUGCUGCUCAU
RNAcentral lists this RNase P RNA (348 nucleotides) under pig gut metagenome. Its description in RNAcentral is "Bacterial RNase P class A". It matches the Rfam family "Bacterial RNase P class A". From Rfam's summary of the family: Ribonuclease P (RNase P) is a ubiquitous endoribonuclease, found in archaea, bacteria and eukarya as well as chloroplasts and mitochondria. Its best characterised activity is the generation of mature 5'-ends of tRNAs by cleaving the 5'-leader elements of precursor-tRNAs. Cellular RNase Ps are ribonucleoproteins. The record is from RNAcentral.